Poecilia reticulata (guppy) is the source of this 1538-nucleotide long non-coding RNA. RefSeq lists it as uncharacterized. NCBI's taxonomy places the organism in Eukaryota, Metazoa, Chordata, Actinopteri, Cyprinodontiformes, Poeciliidae. The record is from RefSeq and is a predicted model, not a curated record.
GAGAAAAAUGAGGUCUAGUUGCUAAUAGCUUAACUUCGAAAAGCUAUUAUCCUCGAAACAACUUUUUUUCAGCCUUUCACAACGAAUGGCAGUACAUAAACAGCUAAUUCUGGUGGAGUUUUGUUUCUGUUUAAAGGAAGUUGUUUCUUCCCACUGUCGCCACAUGUUUGCUCAACAGCUGCAUUUUCAUUAGAAAUGUGUGCAAAACUUUGUCAAUAUUCUGCAAAAAACCUCAAUUGAGUAGCCAAAUAGAUUUCAGCUUAACUUUAAUUGUAGGAUUCUAUGAACUUUACUUUUAGCUUGAACGUUAGUAUCCUGGGAAUUAAAAUAACAACUUUUAACAUUAAUUUCAGAAUAGACCAGCUAAUUAAUACAACUAGUUAAAAAAAUAAGUCAGAAUUAAAACUAUAUUCUAUAUUGAAGUAGCAAUGUUUCAUUGAUAUCUCCUUGAAGUACUUUGGGUUUUAUUGUGUUGAUUAUUUUUAUCAGUAAUUAUGACUUAAAUUUGAUUACUGCAUGGUAUACAAGAGUGUAAUUAUUAAUACUCUAAAAAUUAUUGAGAAAUUGUUUAACUUCAGAUUUAUCCUUCAGAUAUGAUGCUUGUUUUUUGCAGGGAAAACUCAGCUGUGUCCCAUAGCAAGAACGUCUGAGUAGGAAUGGAUUUGUGUUUGCUACAAUAAACACCUGGGACUUUCCUGCAAGAAGGUUCCAACAUCUGAUUGGUUAACCUGCACAGGAAGUUAACUUCUGACCAAUCAUCUUGACCAAGAGCAGCGUUUGCGCCACCAGUCUCUGAUGGAUACCCAAGAAGAUGCGUUUGACCGAAAAGCAAAGAACUGAAAUUAUACUGAUGGCUGGAUCGGGAAGCAGUUGCAUGGUUGCACAAAACUUUAACAGAAAACAUGGAGGGAGCGUCACACACGACACUGUGGCAAAACUUAUAUGCAAGUUUCAGAAAAUUGGAAAUGUUGCAGAUCAACCAUGAAGUGGUCCAAGACCACAGAGUCCCACCAAAAUAAAAACGGUUGUCCAAUAUAAAAUGUUUAUUUUUUUUCUAUGAAUGGAAACUUAUGGCCCACCCUGUAGAAUUCUGCCAAACAUCUCACUGGUUUAGAUUUAGAUGGAGAGUUAGAGAACCUGAAUUUCCAACCACUCUGUUCGAUUUGAUGGAUAUUGCCAAAAUAUAUCUCUCCUUCAUUUAGUUUAGCUCAGUUUUGAAAGCGACUUUAUGGCGUUACAGCUGCUUUCCUUUUUUUCACAAUAAAAACAAACAUUUAACACAAAGGUAUACAGAAUUGGAUGUUCUUUGCUUUUUCAUAAGAACAUUUCAUAGGUGAAGGUUAUAGACGAGCCAGGCUUAUAUUUCUGGCUCAUCUUUUAAUUCACCACAACAAACCAGAGUAGCGCCAAGCCAACAUUAAUGCAGAUGAUGCCUACUCCAUUCUGCCGUCACAUCUGAACAAAACAAGAUACUUGAACUCUUCCAUUUGAGGUAAAGACUAACAUUCAAAAUAAGUAUUUGGCCUUGGAAUCUUCUA